RNAcentral lists this ribosomal RNA (446 nucleotides) under uncultured bacterium. RNAcentral's name for it is "bacterial SSU rRNA". It matches the Rfam family "Bacterial small subunit ribosomal RNA", at positions 331 to 794 of the family's 1533-position model. The record is from RNAcentral.
CCAGACUCCUACGGGAGGCAGCAGUGGGGAAUAUUGCACAAUGGGGGAAACCCUGAUGCAGCGACGCCGCGUGAGUGAUGAAGUAUUUCGGUAUGUAAAGCUCUAUCAGCAGGGAAGAUAAUGACGGUACCUGACUAAGAAGCUCCGGCUAAAUACGUGCCAGCAGCCGCGGUAAUACGUAUGGAGCAAGCGUUAUCCGGAUUUACUGGGUGUAAAGGGAGCGCAGACGGCAGGGCAAGUCUGAUGUGAAAGUCCGGGGCUCAACCCCGGGACUGCUUUGGAAACUGUGCGGCUGGAGUGCAGGAGGGGUAAGCGGAAUUCCUAGUGUAGCGGUGAAAUGCGUAGAUAUUAGGAGGAACACCGGUGGCGAAGGCGGCUUGCUGGACAGUAACUGACGUUGAGGCUCGAAAGCGUGGGGAGCAAACAGGAUUAGAUACCCCUGUAGG